GUGCAUCGAACUGCUGACGCUUCAUCCCUUUCAAUCCUUCCCCAAGUGAACCUUCUACUUGUGGGCUUGUGAGGUAUCCUGUGUUGCUUACCAUCGAGAUGGAAUUCGUUGGCUUUGUUACUUACAUUUGCCAUGUGCCUAUAUGGGUGUGAGGUGAACGUGAGGCGAGCUCUGUGUUCCCAGCAUGCCAAGUGCUUUGGCAUUUGGUUGUUGUGGCCCAUGGGGUCUUUGCUUGUUCUCUCGGAUGCGGAAUGUUGGGUGGACGUGAGGUCUUSACCUCGACUAGUCCAAGCACAAUCUUUUAACUCUGCUGCGCUUGUCUUGAUCUUCCCGACCGAGGCCUCAAAAUGGGGCUUACCGGACGAGGGUUGAACAAGCGGGUGUUAGCGUCUAAGAGUUUAAAAUCGGAAUGACAGCUGCGUCUGUAUUGAUCUUCCCGACCGAGGCCUCGUAGMGGGGCUUACCGGAUGAGGGUUGAACAUGCGGGCGUCAGCGUCAAAGAGGAUAGC
This 509-nucleotide unclassified non-coding RNA is filed under the name Boronia crassifolia. RNAcentral describes it as "partial external transcribed spacer". The record is from RNAcentral. Lineage: Eukaryota; Viridiplantae; Streptophyta; Magnoliopsida; Sapindales; Rutaceae.